Molecule: ribosomal RNA, 686 nt
Filed under: uncultured bacterium
Lineage: Bacteria
Description: bacterial SSU rRNA
Rfam family: Bacterial small subunit ribosomal RNA
Source: RNAcentral
CAUGCAAGUCGAGCGAGAAAGUGACUUCGGUCGCGAGUAAAGCGGCGAACGGGUGAGUACAACGUGGAUAAUCUACCCUAGGGUCUGGGACAACCCCGAGAAAUCGGAGCUAAUACCGGAUAAGACCACAGUAUCCAAGGAUACAGUGGUAAAAGAUUUAUCGCCUUUGGAUGAGUCCACGUCCCAUCAGGUAGUUGGUAAGGUAAAAGCUUACCAAGCCUAAGACGGGUAGCCGGCCUUAGCGGGUGAACGGCCACAUGGGGACUGAGACACGGCCCUGACUCCUACGGGAGGCAGCAGUGGGGAAUAUUGGGCAAUGGGCGAAAGCCUGACCCAGCGAUGCCGCGUGAGGGAUGAAGGCCUUCGGGUUGUAAACCUCUGUCAGGAGGGACGAUGGGACACUUGUGUCUUGACGGUACCUCCAGAGGAAGCCCCGGCUAACUCUGUGCCAGCAGCCGCGGUAAUACGGAGGGGGCAAGCGUUGCUCGGAAUUACUGGGCGUAAAGGGUCCGCAGGCUGUCAGGCAAGUUGGUUGUGAAAGCUCAAGGCUUAACCUUGGAAUUGCAUCCAAAACUGCCUGACUAGAGUCCAAGAGAGGUUGGCGGAAUUCCCGGUGUAGCGGUGAAAUGCAUAGAUAUCGGGAGGAACACCAGAGGCGAAGGCGGCCAACUGGCUUGGAACUGACG